CAGCCCCUCGAGUGGUGGGGAUGAUUAUUUGGCCUAAAGCGUCCGUAGCCGGCCGAGCAAGUCUUCCGUUAAAUCCAGCGUCUCAAGCGUUGGACCGCGGGAGAUACUACACGGCUAGAGAGUGGGAGAGGUCAGCGGUAUUCUGGGGGUAGGGGCGAAAUCCUUUGAUCCCCGGAGGACCACCAGUGGCGAAGGCUGCUGACUAGAACACGUCUGACGGUCAGGGACGAAAGCUGGGGUAGCGAACCGGAUUAGAGACCCGCGUAGUCC
RNAcentral lists this ribosomal RNA (270 nucleotides) under uncultured archaeon. Its description in RNAcentral is "partial 16S ribosomal RNA". It matches the Rfam family "Archaeal small subunit ribosomal RNA", at positions 477 to 747 of the family's 1478-position model. The record is from RNAcentral.